AACGAACGCUGGCGGCAGGCCUAACACAUGCAAGUCGAGCGCGCCCUUCGGGGUGAGCGGCGGACGGGUGAGUAACGCGUGGGAACGUGCCCUUUUCUACGGAAUAGCCUCGGGAAACUGAGAGUAAUACCGUAUACGCCCUUUGGGGGAAAGAUUUAUCGGAAAAGGAUCGGCCCGCGUUGGAUUAGGUAGUUGGUGGGGUAAUGGCCUACCAAGCCGACGAUCCAUAGCUGGUUUGAGAGGAUGAUCAGCCACACUGGGACUGAGACACGGCCCAGACUCCUACGGGAGGCAGCAGGGGGGAAUCUUAGACAAUGGGGGCAACCCUGAUCUAGCCAUGCCGCGUGAGUGAUGAAGGCCUUAGGGUUGUAAAGCUCUUUCAGCUGGGAAGAUAAUGACGGUACCAGCAGAAGAAGCCCCGGCUAACUCCGUG
This 433-nucleotide ribosomal RNA is filed under the name uncultured bacterium. Its description in RNAcentral is "partial 16S ribosomal RNA". It matches the Rfam family "Bacterial small subunit ribosomal RNA", at positions 29 to 507 of the family's 1533-position model. The record is from RNAcentral.